AUGCGUAUGUUGAGAUGGAUGUGUGGCCACACGAGGAAAGAUCGAGUCCGGAAUGAUGAUAUACGAGAUAGAGUUGGGGUAGCACCAAUUGAGGAGAAGCUUGUCCAACAUCGUUUGAGAUGGUUUGGGCAUAUUCAGCGCAGGCCUCCAGAAGCUCCAGUGCAUAGCGGAGGGCUAAAGCGUGCGGAGAAUGUCAAGAGAGGGCGGGGUCGACCGAUUUUGACAUGGGAGGAGUCCGUUAAGAGAGACCUGAAGGAUUGGAGUAUCGACAAAGAGCUAGCUAUGGACAGGGGUGCGUGGAAGCUUGCUAUCCAUGUGCGAGAGCCAUGA
This 330-nucleotide ribosomal RNA is filed under the name Triticum aestivum (bread wheat). RNAcentral describes it as "partial small subunit ribosomal RNA". Lineage: Eukaryota; Viridiplantae; Streptophyta; Magnoliopsida; Poales; Poaceae. The record is from RNAcentral.